GUCUUGUGCUUUGGUUUUUGCAGGUGGUGCACGCAGCCUCGGAGGGGUGAAGCCGCAGGCUGAUGAGCAGUCUGAGAAGGUGCUGUGUGGGCUACCUUUGGAAUGGGAUGAGCGUUUGAGAUAUGAUGAGCGAUGAUGGCCGCAGGGUGUGACUGUGGAAUGUGCG
This is a long non-coding RNA of Harpia harpyja (harpy eagle), 166 nucleotides long. RefSeq lists it as uncharacterized. NCBI's taxonomy places the organism in Eukaryota, Metazoa, Chordata, Aves, Accipitriformes, Accipitridae. The transcript is spliced from 3 exons. The record is from RefSeq and is a predicted model, not a curated record.